RNAcentral lists this ribosomal RNA (705 nucleotides) under uncultured bacterium. RNAcentral's name for it is "bacterial SSU rRNA". It matches the Rfam family "Bacterial small subunit ribosomal RNA", at positions 8 to 696 of the family's 1533-position model. The record is from RNAcentral.
AGGGUUUGAUCCUGGCUCAGGACGAACGCUGGCGGCGUGCUUGAUACAUGCAAGUCUAGGAGAACGUUUUCUUCGGAAAACUAUUAAACUGGCGAACGGGUGAGUAACACGUAGGCAACCUACCGUUAAGAUUGGGAUAACUCCGGGAAACCGGAGCUAAUACCGAAUAUGGCAUUUAAUUCGCAUGAAUUUUAUGUUAAAGUGGGCUUCGGCUCACACUUUACGAUGGGCCUGCGUCCGAUUAGCUUGUUGGUGAGGUAACGGCUUACCAAGGCGAUGAUCGGUAGCUGGUCUGAGAGGAUGAUCAGCCACACUGGGAUUGAGAUACGGCCCAGACUCCUACGGGAGGCAGCAGUAAGGAAUUUUGCACAAUGGACGAAAGUCUGAUGCAGCAACGCCGCGUGAUCGAUGAAGCUUCUAGGAGUGUAAAGAUCUGUCGUGAGGGAAGAAAAAUUUAGAUGUAAAUAAUGUUUAAACUUGACGGUACCUCACAAGAAAGCACCGGCUAACUUCGUGCCAGCAGCCGCGGUAAUACGAGGGGUGCUAGCGUUGUCCGGAAUAACUGGGCGUAAAGGGUCCGUAGGCGUUUUGCUAAGUUGAUCGUUAAAUCCAUCGGCUUAACCGAUGACAUGCGAUCAAAACUGGCAGAAUAGAAUAUGUGAGGGGAAUGUGGAAUUCCUGGUGUAGCGGUGACAUGCGUAGAUA